GAACGCUGGCGGCGUGCUUAACACAUGCAAGUCGAGCGGUAAGGCCCUUUCGGGGGUACACGAGCGGCGAACGGGUGAGUAACACGUGGGUGACCUGCCCUCAGCUCUGGGAUAAGCCUGGGAAACUGGGUCUAAUACCGGAUAUGACUCCAUGACGCAUGUUGUGGGGUGGAAAGCCUUGUGCGGCUGAGGAUGGGCCCGCGGCCUAUCAGCUUGUUGGUGGGGUGAUGGCCUACCAAGGCGACGACGGGUAGCCGGCCUGAGAGGGCGACCGGCCACACUGGGACUGAGACACGGCCCAGACUCCUACGGGAGGCAGCAGUGGGGAAUCUUGCGCAAUGGGCGAAAGCCUGACGCAGCGACGCCGCGUGAGGGAUGACGGCCUGG
Molecule: ribosomal RNA, 387 nt
Filed under: uncultured bacterium
Lineage: Bacteria
Description: bacterial SSU rRNA
Rfam family: Bacterial small subunit ribosomal RNA
Source: RNAcentral